GUGACAUACCUAUACGUUGCCUCGGCGGAUCAGCCCGCGCCCCGUAAAAAGGGACGGCCCGCCCGAGGACCCCUAAACUCUGUUUUUAGUGGAACUUCUGAGUAAAACAAACAAAUAAAUCAAAACUUUCAACAACGGAUCUCUUGGUUCUGGCAUCGAUGAAGAACGCAGCAAAAUGCGAUAAGUAAUGUGAAUUGCAGAAUUCAGUGAAUCAUCGAAUCUUUGAACGCACAUUGCGCCCGCCAGUAUUCUGGCGGGCAUGCCUGUUCGAGCGUCAUUUCAACCCUCAAGCUCAGCUUGGUGUUGGGACUCGCGGUAACCCGCGUUCCCCAAAUCGAUUGGCGGUCACGUCGAGCUUCCAUAGCGUAGUAAUCAUACACCUCGUUACUGGUAAUCGUCGCGGCCACGCCGUAAAACCCCAACUUCUGAAUGUUGACCUCGGAUCAGGUAGGAAUACCCGC
This 461-nucleotide ribosomal RNA is filed under the name Fusarium oxysporum f. sp. lycopersici. Its description in RNAcentral is "eukaryotic LSU rRNA". The stretch from base 124 to 277 matches the Rfam family "5.8S ribosomal RNA". Lineage: Eukaryota; Fungi; Ascomycota; Sordariomycetes; Hypocreales; Nectriaceae. The record is from RNAcentral.